CCGGAUAAUCCUUUGUGGCAGGGUGACUUCCGGUUUAUUUCCGGGUUAUAACAGCGAUAAAUAUGGACUAAUUAUCGUUCCAGAUAUGAUAUGCAGAUGUUAUCUACUGAGACCAUCACUUUCAAUGAAGAACAUCACUACAAUCGGUUGGGCUGCUAGAUUGGUAGCAAUAUGAUUGUAGCCCAGUGAGAUUUUAGUGGUUUACAACCUAUCACUUACCAUUGACCAAUUAUCUCCCUUUUUGUAAAUUGACCACUUACUCCAAAACCAGUUUUGGUUGGACAAAGCUAUUUUUAGAAAAAACCAGUUUGAUGAGAGCCUUUGUCCAGAACAGGUCAUUGUGGCAGACAUGUUUGUUUUAAGAAGUUUUAAAUAAGGAUCUUGGAUCAUUUUAUAUUUGGUAUGUAUUCACUUAUGAUUUGAUAUUAUCAUAAAUGAUAACCAUUGUGUUGCAUUUAUUCUGAAUUUGUGUUUUGGACAAUUCCAAGUAAAUUACAUAUUUUCUUGAGAUGGUUGAAAUGGCAGUUACUUUGACACCCAGUUUUGUGCAUGAUUUGUUUAUGCAAUGAUUAACUUGCAGACCAUAACAGCACUGUGAGAGAUGUAUGACAAUGAGAGCUAGAGAUGUUGCUGUGCUGAGUUGUUGUUGAUGGCACUUGAUUCCAUAAAUCUUGUGUUGACAUAUUCGACUACGACUAUUAGAGUAUUAGACUAUUCGAGUGUUUGAUUACUGUUAUACCAUGCACGUAUUGAUUGGACAUUAAAGAUAUGUGAACCCUUGACACCUUGUGUGACUUUUCCCCUUAUAAGUAACAAUACAUAUAAGUGUGGUGGGACACCAAAGGUUAUAUGAUGUAAGCUAGUGCCUCUUGAAACACUAUUGUUGGUUGGGCAUCUAUUGCUUACUGGGCCUAAAAACAAAAUGUUUGGUUAGGGUUACAUCCUUUUCAAAAAUAGGUAUGGUAGGUAGGCUUUUUUUUUAUUAGGCUUUAUAAUAGAAUGUCAUUUUCAUCAUUGGAAAAUGGUGUUAAAGUUAUCUUCUAUAUAAGCAAUUAAGGUUUUAAACUACUUAUUGAAAAGCAAAAAAAAUAAAAUGGUAGGGUCGGCGCCUAUUCCGUAGGUAGGGUCGGGUAACCCGAACCAAAUGUAUUUUUUUUAGGCCCUGGACCGCUAUAUUGGAUGGACCAUACGUGUUGGUUGAACAACAGUUACUAUAAAUGGUUGGACCGGAAGUGUUGGUUGGACCACCAGAGUUGUUUGGACUGCUUGUUGGACAGAAUGUGUGAUGGACAACUAGUAUUAUUUGAAUCACUGUUGGAUAGACAGCUUUUGUUUUAUCAGACAGCUAUAAUCAGUUGAUUUACAAGUUCCUGGAUCGCUAGUUCCUGGUGGAUAAAUAUUCCAUGUACAGAAGGAAACAAAAAGGUUCUUUUGCUAACUGUAACAAUGACAUGGUUGGUGAAUUGGUAUCAGACAAUUUGCAGCCAAGACAACACAGUGAAAUGAUAGCCGAUUCCUUAAACUCUAAAUGGCAAAUCAUAGAGAAUACAUCAUAGCUUUUGCUUUUCUGUGUUUUUUUUUCCCCGAUCAAAAAAUAAAA
Mya arenaria is the source of this 1600-nucleotide long non-coding RNA. RefSeq lists it as uncharacterized. NCBI's taxonomy places the organism in Eukaryota, Metazoa, Mollusca, Bivalvia, Myida, Myidae. The transcript is spliced from 3 exons. The record is from RefSeq and is a predicted model, not a curated record.